ACAUACGGCCAUAGUAUCUUGAAAAUUGUCGAUCCCGUCCGAUCUCGACUACACAAGCAGGAUAACGGCAGAUUAGUAGUUGGUCGGUGACGACCAGCGAACACCGGCUGCUGUAUGUU
Molecule: ribosomal RNA, 119 nt
Filed under: Ophiocordyceps sinensis
Lineage: Eukaryota; Fungi; Ascomycota; Sordariomycetes; Hypocreales; Ophiocordycipitaceae
Also listed under: 1 other name
Source: RNAcentral